Molecule: long non-coding RNA, 2925 nt
Organism: Sapajus apella (tufted capuchin)
Lineage: Eukaryota; Metazoa; Chordata; Mammalia; Primates; Cebidae
Exons: 3
Source: RefSeq, a predicted model, not a curated record
CAGGGAAGGGGUGUCCCGGAUGGGUGCUACGGCUACGUUUGCCCAGGCGCUCGCUUUCAGGCCUGUCGCACUGCGCGGCGGAGGCUCCCACCUGGGCUGCUGGGCCCAAAGGCGGUGGUACUCACCUUAACCUUGGCGAAGAAGAAGGCCACUCCUGCUUUGCCGCAGGGCUGUCGUCACGAUCUGUGCCAGCUAUGCGACAGAGUCUGCCCGGAGAUCAGCGUGAGGCCAGAUGGGCCUACCGCUCAGGAAGAGCUGGAAGAGCUGGAGCAAGCUCGCGUUGUGACUGACGCCCAGUGUACAUUGUUUCAAUCUCGGUCGAACUUUACAGCCCAGGAUCUGUCACUGACUUGGUGUUUACCUUUCAGCUAGUCCCUACCCUCUCCCUGCCUUACCUUGUUCGGCGGUAGAGUGGAAGGUGCAACUUAGCUGCCUGCAAGAUCUUGCAGCACUUUCUUUCGUUCUCAUAUCCACUAGUGUUCUCUGCCCAGAUUUUACCCUUUGUCUGCCCCUCUGGAGCAAGGCGCUGGGUAAAUUAGGCUAGGAAGUUUUCUUUCUCUUUCGAAAACAGUUGAAAAGCCUUUAAAUACUCCUGACUGCCCUGUAAAGGACAUUCAACCUAUUAAUUGAAUGUCAACUCUGAAGAAUGCAUUUGUGAAUUCCUUACUUAAUUAAACAUUUUAACCAGAUGAUUGCCUAAAAUGAUGUGCGUUGAGUGGACAUAGUACACUACCUAACAAAAGUCUCAUGAUAAGUUCGUUGGGUGCUUUAACUCAGUCGCUGAAAGAAAAACUUCAGCUCUCAUAAUUAAGAAACACUUUCAUAAUUGACUCCCAUACAGUACUCUUUUAGAGCUGCUUGUACCUUGCUUUGCCCUUUCAGUACACACUGUAGUAAAAAUUACAUAGUUUAUUUUACAUUAACUAUAAAGACAAAGAACUAUAAACAUUAUGGAUGAAUAUUUUGGUAUCAACUUCCGGUUUCUUCUUAUUAAGGAACUGGUGAUAAUGAUAAGAGUGAUCAUAUAUUACGAAAAAUACUAUAAUUUUCACAACACUAGAAUACACAAGUAUGGUUAUUUAUCAUAAGGCUUGAAAAACUUAUACUUUAUCUCAUAACCAGUAUGAUGAAGGGAAUGUUCACUGGGGUGGUUGAGUCUGGGGGCUUGUUUAGUUUACCACACCUAGUUUUUUAUUUCUUGGAAACUUGGACUGGAACAGAUCACUUCCUUGUUUUGGCGUCUGUCUCAAGAAGCAUGAUUAGUUCUGUAUUUCUGCUUGUCAACCCUGGGAACAACAGUUAAACCAGCCAAGCAGAUCACUCAAUGUUUACAAUGUUUGUGACAGCUGUGUUUUCUCCCUCCAGGGGCUGGGAGGGGGACCCCCGGGUUAAUAAACCUCUUUGGUGGGAAGACUCUCUUCCUGCUUGGAGCCAAACUGAACAUAGAUCCAUCAGCUGGGCACCACUGUAAUCCCCUUUCUAUAACACUAAGCAUCCCCCAUGCUCAUAUGGGCUGUACAUACACCUGCCAUUGCCAUGUGUAAAAAUUUACAGGGUAAGAGGCUUUUGAAAACACCCAACCUGCUCGGUACCUAUAGGUUAUAGGGAAGGAAUGGCUGAUAGGAAGGUGAGUGUUCUUCUGGAUGAGGGAGACUUCAUGAUUUCCAAAAUAGUUUGAAAAGUGAAAAGAAAAUUGUGCUGGACAUCUGCUGAGCCAACCUUAAGGGUGGGUUUAGGACUGGCUAUUUGGCAGGACCUGGUGUCUGCCUUGUUUAGCCAUAUUUUUACUCUAUUCAUCAUGCUCUAUUCAUUCACUCCAAAGGGAAUCAAUGAAUGCCAACUCUGUGUCAGGACCUUGAUCCAUUCACUGAGAUUGGCAGCGUGGCAGGACAGCCAGUUUGGGAGGACAACAGGAAUUCAACUUUAACCAUACUCAGUCUGAGGCUUCCUCACCUUUCCCCUUUACCUAUAUAUCUAACCACUACAAAAUUUUGUCAUUUGUAUAUCCUGAAUAUUGAAAAAAUCCAUCCACUUCUCUUUGCCCCUAUGACUACUCCAAAUUUCAAGCCAGUAACAUUCUUUUUUAAUUGAUUUAAACAUUUUUAUUUUAAAAGACCGAAUGGUUGCUUGACCGUUGGCUCUCAUGGGAAAACCACAACCCUUACCAUCACCACCACCACCACAGCAAAAACAACAAACAGCCUAAUGACCUCUGUAUAAUCCCUAAGAAAUUGUCAGAGAUUAACAUUCUCUUUUUUUCUUGCUUGAUGCUCAAUGUGUUUUAAAAACAUAUUUCGAUAAUUUACGUGCCCUAAUAUUCACAUAUUUAAAGUGAUCGUAUAAAUUUAUUAGGUGGUACAACCAUCACUAUAAUCUAAUUUUAGAACAUUUUCAUCACGUCAGUGACAUCUUCCUUGCCCAUUUGCAGUCAGUCUUCAUUACUACUCCCAGCAUCAGGCAACCACUCAUCUACUUUCUGUGCCUAUGCAUUUGUCUAUCCUGAACGUUUCAUCUAAAUAAUGUCACCAAAGUUUAUUCAUGUUGUGGCAUAUAUAAAUACUUUUUAUAGCUGAAUGAUAUUCCAUUGCAUCGGUAUACUAUAUUUUUGUCUAUCUAGUCAUCAAUUGAUGGACAUUUGGAUUGUUUCUAUCUUUUGACUAUUGUGAACAAAGCUGCUAUGAACAUUUGUGUACAAAUUUUUGGGUGGACAUUUGUUUUCAUUUCUCUUGGUUAAACACCUAUGAGUGCAAUUACUUGGUCAUAUUAUAUGUUUAAUUUUCUGCCAAACUGUUUUCCUAAUGGGCUGUACUAUUUUACAGUCAUUAGAUUUACAUGAACCAUCAGCAAUAUGUUUCUUCUCAUCAUCACAUUUGUUAUUUCCCCGUGUUUUUUUUUUUUUUAUUUUAUUUUGUUUUUUAUUUGUAG